GCAGUCGAACGAGCGAGAGAGAGCUUGCUUUCUCAAGCGAGUGGCGAACCGGUGAGUAACGCGUGAGGAACCUGCCUCAAAGAGGGGGACAACAGUUGGAAACGACUGCUAAUACCGCAUAAGCCCACGACUCGGCAUCGGGUAGAGGGAAAAGGAGCAAUCCGCUUUGAGAUGGCCUCGCGUCCGAUUAGCUAGUUGGUGAGGUAAUGGCCCACCAAGGCGACGAUCGGUAGCCGGACUGAGAGGUUGAACGGCCACAUUGGGACUGAGACACGGCCCAGACUCCUACGGGAGGCAGCAGUGGGGAAUAUUGCACAAUGGGGGAAACCCUGAUGCAGCGACGCCGCGUGGAGGAAGAAGGUCUUCGGAUUGUAAACUCCUGUUGUUGAGGAAGAUAAUGACGGUACUCAACAAGGAAGUGACGGCUAACUACGUGCCAGCAGCCGCGGUAAAACGUAGGUCACAAGCGUUGUCCGGAAUUACUGGGUGUAAAGGGAGCGCAGGCGGGAAGACAAGUUGGAAGUGAAAUCCAUGGGCUCAACCCAUGAACUGCUUUCAAAACUGUUUUUCUUGAGUAGUGCAGAGGUAGGCGGAAUUCCCGGUGUAGCGGUGGAAUGCGUAGAUAUCGGGAGGAACACCAGUGGCGAAGGCGGCCUACUGGGCACCAACUGACGCUGAGGCUCGAAAGUGUGGGUAGCAAACAGGAUUAGAUACCCUGGUAGUCCACACUGUAAACGAUGAUUACUAGGUGUUGGAGGAUUGACCCCUUCAGUGCCGCAGUUAACACAAUAAGUAAUCCACCUGGGGAGUACGACCGCAAGGUUGAAACUCAAAGGAAUUGACGGGGGCCCGCACAAGCAGUGGAGUAUG
Molecule: ribosomal RNA, 870 nt
Filed under: uncultured bacterium
Lineage: Bacteria
Description: bacterial SSU rRNA
Rfam family: Bacterial small subunit ribosomal RNA
Source: RNAcentral